Molecule: ribosomal RNA, 253 nt
Filed under: uncultured bacterium
Lineage: Bacteria
Description: partial 16S ribosomal RNA
Rfam family: Bacterial small subunit ribosomal RNA
Source: RNAcentral
UACGAAGGGGGCUAGCGUUGUUCGGAAUUACUGGGCGUAAAGAGCGUGUAGGCGGCCAUGCAGGUCAGCUGUGAAAACUCGAGGCUCAACCUCGAGAUGUCGGUUGAAACCGUAUGGCUAGAGUCCGGAAGAGGAGAGUGGAAUUCCCGGUGUAGCGGUGAAAUGCGCAGAUAUCGGGAAGAACACCUAUGGCGAAGGCAGCUCUCUGGGACGGUACUGACGCUGAGACGCGAAAGCGUGGGGAGCGAACAGG